RNAcentral lists this ribosomal RNA (230 nucleotides) under uncultured bacterium. RNAcentral's name for it is "partial 16S ribosomal RNA". It matches the Rfam family "Bacterial small subunit ribosomal RNA", at positions 561 to 791 of the family's 1533-position model. The record is from RNAcentral.
UAAAGCGUGCGCAGGCGGUUUUGUAAGACAGAUGUGAAAUCCCCGGGCUCAACCUGGGAACUGCAUUUGUGACUGUAUAGCUGGAGUGCGGCAGAGGGGGAUGGAAUUCCGCGUGUAGCAGUGAAAUGCGUAGAUAUGCGGAGGAACACCGAUGGCGAAGGCAAUCCCCUGGGCCUGCACUGACGCUCAUGCACGAAAGCGUGGGGAGCAAACAGGAUUAGAACCCUAGU